Molecule: long non-coding RNA, 1219 nt
Organism: Macaca mulatta (Rhesus monkey)
Lineage: Eukaryota; Metazoa; Chordata; Mammalia; Primates; Cercopithecidae
Source: Ensembl
GUCAGGAUGCUUGAGCAACAGUGUGAACAAGCCCACAGGACCAGAUGCCCCAGGGCUACCGGGAGAAACACUCGAGGCUGUUCAUCCUUAGCUGGCUUAAGCUCUGCCUUUGUCCUGUGUCUGGAGACUUCUUGGAAGCUGAAGCACACAAAUAGCUACAGCAAACUUGAGGAAUGGGCAUGAAUAGACUGGCUUUGGGGAACCUGCCAGCUUGGCUGUGUGGCCAAGUUUAGAAAGAUUACUCGAAACCUGCAGGAUACGGGAGAAGGAAGAUGAUGGAAGCUAUGGUCCCUUGGAGAACUAUUGCUGCCGUUCACAUUGUUCUGGUGCAGGCUGAGGGCUGCUUUCCUUCAGCAGCCCUCCUUCAGAACUCUUCAGGCAGGAAGCAGUACCUGUUUCUGUGCUUGCAAUUAUCUCAAAUCCAGGAGAUCCACGUCAAGCUCUCCCGAGGAUUGUCUCACCCCACUCCACCAGAGUGGUUGGAGCUUCUGCAGCUCAACAAAUACCAACCAGGAAAGAGACUUACUCAUGCUGCCUCAAGAGAUGGAGCCAGAAUAUUAUGCCCUGUGGAAUAACGAAAAUAAAGAAAAUAAGAAUUUUUGCCUAGGUUUCCUCUUCUAAAACUUACAAUCUAAACCAGAGACCAGAAAAAGGCUCACGACAAGGAAUCACAAAACCAUAGCUUCCCAUGGAGACUAGAACUCAAUUUAUGUUCUGAAAAGUGAUUCUAAUCACUGGUUGUUCCCUUGCUAACUUCUUGAGUGUUCUGUCUGCCUUUGCACCUCUCUGUGUGCCUAUAUUCUUCUGCUACUAUAUAGCUGAUUUUUACUAGGUAACUUUAAAGUCUCAAGAGAGAGGAUUGGGUUGGUCAACGUAAUCACUAUGAUUCAUAAAGGGCAGAGCUUUUGGCGUCAGACCAUCUCAUAGGCUGUUGGUCUGACUAGUUUAGCUGCCUUUGGGUUAGGUAUGAACCUUAGUCCAGCUGUCUGUGGGUGGCAGACUGAUGUGGAGCAAAACUUGUCCACCUACACUUAAAGAACUUCCUAGAUUGGAACACCGAGGUGGGCAGAUUGCUUUGAGCUCACAAGUUUGUAACCAACAUGGGCGACAUGGCGAAACCCCAUCUCUAAUAAAAAAAAAAAAAAAAUAGCAGGGCAUGGUGGUGCAUGCCUGUGUUCCCAGUUACUUGGGAGGCUGAGGUGGGAGAAUGGUUUGAGCC